GGAUGCGGUCAUACCAGCACUAAAGCACCGGAUCCCAUCAGAACUCCGUAGUUAAGCGUGCUUGGGCGAGAGUAGUACUAGGAUGGGUGACCUCCUGGGCAAGUCCUCGUGUUGCAUUCC
RNAcentral lists this ribosomal RNA (120 nucleotides) under Triticum aestivum (bread wheat). Lineage: Eukaryota; Viridiplantae; Streptophyta; Magnoliopsida; Poales; Poaceae. The record is from RNAcentral.